GUCCUGCCCAUCACGAUCAUUCUGACUGCUCAGAUGACACCGUUAACUGCCCUUUUUUUUUUCCUUUUAGCUUGCAUUAGACACACACUACUGGACUUGGAUCAACCAUUUUGUCAUCUGGGGGUCGCUGCUGUUCUACGUUGUCUUUUCGCUUCUCUGGGGAGGAGUGAUCUGGCCGUUCCUCAACUACCAGAGGAUGUACUACGUGUUCAUCCAGAUGCUGUCCAGCGGGCCCGCCUGGCUGGCCAUCGUGCUGCUGGUGACUGUCAGCCUCCUUCCCGAUGUCCUCAAGAAAGUCCUGUGCCGGCAGCUGUGGCCAACAGCAACAGAGAGAGUCCAGACUAAGAGCCAGUGCCUUUCUGUCGAGCAGUCAACCAUCUUUAUGCUUUCUCAGACUUCCAGCAGCCUGAGUUUCUGACGGAACAAGGUGAUGCUCCUCUGCCUUCCACGCACUUGGGAUGGUAGACACGGGGCAGCAGGGCCAUGCCCCUCACCAGAGCCCUGAGUCCACGUGCUCUGACGCGGCGUCCACCAGGCGCUGGGUACAGCAGCCUCACGUCGGGAAGUCCCGCCACCACUUACA
Molecule: small RNA, 583 nt
Filed under: Pan troglodytes (chimpanzee)
Lineage: Eukaryota; Metazoa; Chordata; Mammalia; Primates; Hominidae
Description: retained intron
Source: RNAcentral